CCUACGGGUGGCAGCAGUGAGGAAUAUUGGUCAAUGGGCGCUAGCCUGAACCAGCCAAGUAGCGUGAAGGAUGACUGCCCUAUGGGUUGUAAACUUCUUUUAUACGGGAAUAAAGUGCAGUACGUAUACUGCUUUGCAUGUACCUUAUGAAUAAGGAUCGGCUAACUCCGUGCCAGCAGCCGCGGUAAUACGGAGGAUCCGAGCGUUAUCCGGAUUUAAUGGGUUUAAAGGGAGCGUAGGCGGUUUGGUAAGUCAGUGGUCAAAGCCUGGGGCUCAACCCCAGGACGGCCAUUGAUACUGGCAGUCUCGAGUAGGAGAGAGGUAUGCGGAAUGCGCGGUGUAGCGGUGAAAUGCAUAGAUAUCACGAAGAACUCCGAUUGCGAAGGCAGCAUGCUGGCUCGACACUGACGCUGAGGCGCGAAAGCGUGGGUAUCAAACAGGAUUAGAUACCCUGGUAGUC
This 460-nucleotide ribosomal RNA is filed under the name uncultured bacterium. Its description in RNAcentral is "partial 16S ribosomal RNA". It matches the Rfam family "Bacterial small subunit ribosomal RNA", at positions 338 to 795 of the family's 1533-position model. The record is from RNAcentral.